Molecule: ribosomal RNA, 235 nt
Filed under: uncultured Eubacteriales bacterium
Lineage: Bacteria; Bacillati; Bacillota; Clostridia; Eubacteriales
Description: uncultured Clostridiales bacterium partial 16S ribosomal RNA
Rfam family: Bacterial small subunit ribosomal RNA
Source: RNAcentral
CGAACGGGUGAGUAACGCGUGAGCAACCUGCCUAUGACAGUGGGACAGCCUCGGGAAACCGGGAUUAAUACCGCAUAAAAUCGUAGAAACACAUGUUUUAACGGUCAAAGAUUUAUCGGUCAUAGAUGGGCUCGCGUCUGAUUAGCUAGUUGGUGAGAUAACAGCCCACCAAGGCGACGAUCAGUAGCCGGUCUGAGAGGAUGAACGGCCACAUUGGAACUGAGACACGGUCCAA